GACCACUGAGGCACAUCCCCAGCCCUAUUCUGUAUUUUAUUUAGAGACAGGGUCUCACUGAGUUGCUCAGGGCCUCACUAAGUUGCUGAGGCUGGCUUUGAACUUGCGAUCUUCCUGCCUCAGCCUUAAAAACCACUGGGAUUAUAGGCUUUGCACCACCUCACCCAACUUUCUAUUUUUAAAAAUUAUUACAGAGACAAUAAGUGUUCUCUACAGUAAAGUUAGAAAUUCCAUAAAAAUUAAGAAGCAAGUGAAGAACCCGUUCCUUCCACUCAGAAAUCAGGGCCCUUUGCCCUUGCUGUCCACCCUUCCAGGCCCCUCCUCCAUCGGGGUGGGGAUGGGUAGAGGGCCUAUGAGAUGUCCUGACGGAGUCCCUUCAGGUGGACCUUGGCCAGGCAAUCCCUGCUUUUCUGCUUCACAUGUUGGGUUGCUGCACACUGUGAUUUACUAAGCAUCAUCAUGGACUAAUUCAUCUGCUGCUGUUGAACCUACAAUUUUUUAUUGCUGCAAUUAUUCUAAAGAAAACUCCUGUACAGUGUCAGGACUCUGAUGGAGUGACAGACGCUUGGCUUACAUUUUCUGGGUCAAAAUAUACAUAGCAUUUUUGAGGUGCAGGCCACUUUUCAAUAUCAAAGGUGAGCCUCACUGGGGAAGGCAAGGACCCACAGAGACACUGAGGUUGAAGCCCCAUGGAGAACAGGCAGAUGAACUGGCAGCAGACCCCCUAGUGGCACCUUGCACAGUACCACAGAGCUGGACAAAAGCCCUGCACCAGGCCC
Molecule: long non-coding RNA, 779 nt
Filed under: Marmota monax (woodchuck)
Lineage: Eukaryota; Metazoa; Chordata; Mammalia; Rodentia; Sciuridae
Source: RNAcentral